Molecule: long non-coding RNA, 749 nt
Organism: Triticum aestivum (bread wheat)
Lineage: Eukaryota; Viridiplantae; Streptophyta; Magnoliopsida; Poales; Poaceae
Exons: 4
Source: RefSeq, a predicted model, not a curated record
CCUUCUCAAAAAAAAGAACUCUCUCUCCUUUCCCCCCGUGCGAUCGCCACCAGGCUCCUCCUGCACAUCCGCCAUUUCUUCCGAUUUGCCGCCGGUGAAGGACGAUGUCACUGUGCCUCAUCAAGAAACAAAUCCUCAUGCUAUCCUGGAUCCACAUGUCGCUUCUUUUCUCCUGAUUUUUCUUCCCUGGUGGUGGCGCAUGUGGCUGGGUGAGUGCGUGGAUCUCAGCGGCCUCGUCGAGUCUGGCAACGCGGUCACAGAGAUGUCCAGGGAGAACGUGUGCGCUGCUCAAACUUAUCGUAGCUGGAGGCUCUGGCUGUUGGGGCUGCGGAGGCAUUGAGGGAGCUCGCGGAGGAAAAACUAUCAGCAAUAUCACGAAGGGCCAUUUUGAGUCGCUUGGUGACAAUAAUGAUUUUAGGAGCAUCAUCAGCAAACCUACCUUCAUCUUAAGCUCGUGGUUUAGAAUUCCUGGGAAGGUCAUGUUGUUAAGGGACUCCGCUGGACACAUAUUCUCCAUUGUGUUGUACUUCAUUGUUGCCUUGCAUACAGUGUCCAAGCUUAGACUCUCGACCGGUGGAUCACGAUGGUGAAGAUCAAACUGGAAUAUCCGCCAGCAUGCUUCGGUUGUUGAUAUGUAUCUCAUCUCUAGGUAUUUUUUGAUCUCAUCGUAGUCAUUUGUCGCACCCCUUUCCUUUAGUAAGGUUGUUACUUGGUCAUCGUCUUUAUGGAUGUACUUAAAUAGGUACUUG